GUUAAGCUGCUGCGUUGGUGACUGCCAAUAAAGUUUUUUGAUCUAUGCUUUGUAAGUUUAGGGAGCCGACAUCUUUUUUGUGGUAGUAAACCGAGCUUGUACUCGGAAACGGAAACAAACUGAGUUAGCACCCACCUGGUUCAACCAGGUCAUAAACUGAGGUAAAACGGCGCAGCAGUCUUGUU
Molecule: non-coding RNA, 185 nt
Filed under: Cyanothece sp. UBA12306
Lineage: Bacteria; Bacillati; Cyanobacteriota; Cyanophyceae; Gomontiellales; Cyanothecaceae
Description: 6S RNA
Rfam family: 6S / SsrS RNA
About the family: E. coli 6S RNA was the first non coding RNA to be sequenced, but its function was unknown until recently. It consists of 184 nucleotides that fold into an extended hairpin structure with a large single-stranded internal bulge. The 6S RNA specifically associates with RNA polymerase holoenzyme containing the sigma70 specificity factor.
Source: RNAcentral